UGUAAGAAAUGACACCUAGAUUAUUUUCACUUUUAACCCAAUAACUGAUCCCUCUGAAACCCACAGUGCGGAGUUUCCAGACCCAUGAAGAAGAAGAAGGUGAAGAAGAAGGAAAAAGAAGAGCAUUUGCCAGAUGCCUGGAACUGCCAGUCAAAACCAGUGUAGGCUGUGAUUCUCCUCCAAGCUGGAGACUGGGGGAAACCAGGAUCCUCUACCAAAUAAUUUCCACCGGAUGAGGUUGCUAAGAAGAAAUAUUCUGGGAUCAUCUCUCUGUGAGCAAAGAGAAACCUCAGUAUUGCACUGGAUUGAGAAGCAGGUGCCUAAGAAAGAGUUGUGCCAUCAAAUGGCAGAAAGUGUCAACCCUCUGUAAUCAAUUAUAGAUGUCUCUUUUUUACACUCUCCUUGGAAACUGAGGCAUGGGAAUUUUGAAGAGAAAUAGGAUAUUUAAUGGUCUCAAACUCACAUCCCUGUGCAUGAAUCCUCUCCCAUGUUUUCUUAAAAUUUUGCUCCUUUGCUCAGAAUGGCGACACAUCCUCACUAACGAGCCCAAAUCUGGCAUUUCUUGUGUCACCUCCCCUGGGAGAUGCAAGUGCUUGCUGAGGAAUAGCUGU
Passer domesticus (house sparrow) is the source of this 611-nucleotide long non-coding RNA. RefSeq lists it as uncharacterized. The record is from RefSeq and is a predicted model, not a curated record. The transcript is spliced from 2 exons. Lineage: Eukaryota; Metazoa; Chordata; Aves; Passeriformes; Passeridae.